GCAGUCCCCACUGAAGGCACUCCACACGUCCGGUGACAGGCUGGUCAGGAGACUUUCCUGACACCAGGAUCACCCACACAGAUUGUGGUUUGCAAAACCGUCGGCUCUACAAACCCUUCCCGCCUUUGGAUCCGAUUGCCUGGUGUUCAUCCCGAGAACGCUGUGUGGUACACCCCAGCAGGCCGAUCCCCCAAUCUCUCCCCCUGCGGAUGCAACCCAGGACAAUCCUCAAGGACCAGCUCCGUUAUACAGAUGUGUAGACGGAGAAGUCAACCGGUGUAUUCCGCUUCGGGCAAGUUGACAAACCGGUGAGUUCUUUUUUUUUUUUUUUCUAUUGGGUUCCUGACUUGGCUGGUCGGCUCUUGGUAUCAUUUGGUGCUUUUCUCUCAAAGGAGAAAGCCCAUAGGAAAGGGGAAAGGAGGUGGAGACUGUUCUCAUGAGUUGGAAUCUGGUUUUACUCUUUUGGUUCUUUGAUUCUCACGAGCCAAUCAGUUACUUCACUCAAGGAUAUGGAAAGCACAUUAACGAUAUUUAAGUGGGAAUCGAUGUCCACAAACCAACCCUGAGAAGUUUUGUCAUGACUUUGGUGAUAUUGUGAUGUUAUUAAGAAAUGGUUUUUGUCAUUUCUAGCACAGUGCCUAAAACCCUCUUAAUUUCCAGGGUGGUGGGAGGGGUAAAGGUGUCUUUUGUUAGGUUGAUGCGUGACUUUUGGAAAGCCCCGAGGUGACCCUGAUUGGAGGGUUAGAACUUUCCAGUGAAAAGAACGUGGUUGGGGAUUGGUUCCAUCGUCAAGGGCCGAUUUAAGCAA
Molecule: long non-coding RNA, 808 nt
Filed under: Felis catus (domestic cat)
Lineage: Eukaryota; Metazoa; Chordata; Mammalia; Carnivora; Felidae
Description: lncRNA (ENSFCAG00000053556.1)
Source: RNAcentral